UACGUAGGGGGCGAGCGUUGUCCGGAAUCAUUGGGCGUAAAGCGCGUGUAGGCGGCCCGGUAAGUCCGCUGUGAAAGUCCAGGGCUCAACCCUGGGAUGCCGGUGGAUACUGUCGGGCUCGAGUCCGGAAGAGGCGAGUGGAAUUCCUGGUGUAGCGGUGAAAUGCGUAGAUAUCGGGAGGAACACCUGCGGCGAAGGCGGGUUGCUGGGCUGACACUGACGCUGAUGCGCGAAAGCCAGGGGGGCGAACGGG
Molecule: ribosomal RNA, 253 nt
Filed under: uncultured bacterium
Lineage: Bacteria
Description: partial 16S ribosomal RNA
Rfam family: Bacterial small subunit ribosomal RNA
Source: RNAcentral